GUCUUAAUUGGGCGUUAAGUUGCAGGGUAUAGACCCGAAACCCGGUGAUCUAGCCAUGGGCAGGUUGAAGGUUGGGUAACACUAACUGGAGGACCGAACCGACUAAUGUUGAAAAAUUAGCGGAUGACCUGUGGCUGGGGGUGAAAGGCCAAUCAAACCGGGAGAUAGCUGGUUCUCCCCGAAAGCUAUUUAGGUAGCGCCUCGUGAAUUCAUCUCCGGGGGUAGAGCACUGUUUCGGCUAGGGGGCCAUCCCGGCUUACCAACCCGAUGCAAACUGCGAAUACCGGAGAAUGUUAUCACGGGAGACACACGGCGGGUGCUAACGUCCGUCGUGAAGAGGGAAACAACCCAGACCGCCAGCUAAGGUCCCAAAGUCAUGGUUAAGUGGGAAACGAUGUGGGAAGGCCCAGACAGCCAGGAUGUUGGCUUAGAAGCAGCCAUCAUUUAAAGAAAGCGUAAUAGCUCACUGGUCGAGUCGGCCUGCGCGGAAGAUGUAACGGGGCUAAACCAUGCACCGAAGCUGCGGCAGCGAACGUAUCACUUAAAGCGAUUCAGCGGGUUACGAUUGACGGAGCGAAGCGACGUCAAAGCGUAUACAAAGUCGAGUCGGUUUAAGGAUACGUUCGUUGGGUAGGGGAGCGUUCUGUAAGCCUGCGAAGGUGGCCUGUGAGGGUUGCUGGAGGUAUCAGAAGUGCGAAUGCUGACAUAAGUAACGAUAAAGCGGGUGAAAAGCCCGCUCGCCGGAAGACCAAGGGUUCCUGUCCAACGUUAAUCGGGGCAGGGUGAGUCGACCCCUAAGGCGAGGCCGAAAGGCGUAGUCGAUGGGAAACGGGUUAAUAUUCCCGUACUUGGUGUUACUGCGAAGGGGGGACGGAGAAGGCUAUGUUGGCCGGGCGACGGUUGUCCCGGUUUAAGCGUGUAGGUGUGUGUUCCAGGUAAAUCCGGUU
RNAcentral lists this ribosomal RNA (947 nucleotides) under Salmonella enterica subsp. enterica serovar Infantis. RNAcentral describes it as "partial 23S ribosomal RNA". It matches the Rfam family "Bacterial large subunit ribosomal RNA", at positions 681 to 1547 of the family's 2925-position model. The record is from RNAcentral. Lineage: Bacteria; Pseudomonadati; Pseudomonadota; Gammaproteobacteria; Enterobacterales; Enterobacteriaceae.